Paramuricea clavata is the source of this 276-nucleotide non-coding RNA. The record is from the annotation of a GenBank genome assembly. NCBI's taxonomy places the organism in Eukaryota, Metazoa, Cnidaria, Anthozoa, Malacalcyonacea, Plexauridae.
CGUAAUCUGUGUUGCAAAUUCUUCUACCCGAGGAUGUACCCAAUAUUGAUCUCUGACUCUGUUACCAAUGUUAAUAUAAUAUGAUAUAUGGAUCACACCUCCUGUAUCCAGCAUGCACUUUUGUAAAUAGUUCUUUUUUUGUCUUUGUUUCUAUUUAUUUUCUUGUAAAUAUUAAUACUUUGUAUAUAAAUUGACGACGCCCCUCAUGCAUGAAAACCAACUUAUGACGUUGAAGAGGCUAGCGUCAUAAAAUACAUUUUUACGAUACGAUACGAU